RNAcentral lists this ribosomal RNA (460 nucleotides) under uncultured bacterium. RNAcentral's name for it is "partial 16S ribosomal RNA". It matches the Rfam family "Bacterial small subunit ribosomal RNA", at positions 338 to 795 of the family's 1533-position model. The record is from RNAcentral.
CCUACGGGCGGCAGCAGUGAGGAAUAUUGGUCAAUGGUCGGGAGACUGAACCAGCCAAGCCGCGUGAGGGAUGAAGGUACAGAGUAUCGUAAACCUCUUUUGUCAGGGAACAAAGGCGGGGACGUGUCCCCGGAUGAGUGUACCUGAAGAAAAAGCAUCGGCUAACUCCGUGCCAGCAGCCGCGGUAAUACGGAGGAUGCGAGCGUUGUCCGGAUUUACUGGGUGUAAAGGGCGUGUAGCCGGGCUGACAAGUCAGAUGUGAAAUCCGGGGGCUCAACCCCCGAACUGCAUUUGAAACUGUUGGUCUUGAGUAUCGGAGAGGCAGGCGGAAUUCCUAGUGUAGCGGUGAAAUGCGUAGAUAUUAGGAGGAACACCAGUGGCGAAGGCGGCCUGCUGGACGACAACUGACGGUGAGGCGCGAAAGCGUGGGGAGCAAACAGGAUUAGAUACCCGAGUAGUC